RNAcentral lists this ribosomal RNA (494 nucleotides) under uncultured bacterium. Its description in RNAcentral is "partial 16S ribosomal RNA". It matches the Rfam family "Bacterial small subunit ribosomal RNA", at positions 28 to 507 of the family's 1533-position model. The record is from RNAcentral.
GACGAACGCUGGCGGCGUGCUUAACACAUGCAAGUCGAACGGAAAGGCCUGCUUUCCCUUGUGGAUUGCGGGUACUCGAGUGGCGAACGGGUGAGUAACACGUGAGUGAUCUGCCCCCAACUUGGGUAUAAGCCUGGGAAACUGGGUCUAAUUCCCGAUAGGACUGCAGGGUGGUGCCUGUGGUGGAAAACGAUUUUCUAGUGGUUGGGGAUGAGCUCGCGGCCUAUCAGCUUGUUUGUGGGGUAAUGGCCUACCAAGGCGGCGACGGGUAGCCGGCCUGAGAGGGUGGACGGCCACAUUGGGACUGAGAUACGGCCCAGACUCCUACGGGAGGCAGCAGUGGGGAAUAUUGCACAAUGGGCGGAAGCCUGAUGCAGCGACGCCGCGUGGGGGAUGACGGCCUUCGGGUUGUAAACUCCUUUCGACCGCGAGGAAGCCACCUGGUUGGAAGGGUGGUGACGGUAGUGGUAGAAGAAGCACCGGCUAACUACGUG